UCAACCAUNGUGUGCAUUGGGAANNGGGGGGACUUGAGUGCNGGAGAGGAGAGUGGAAUUCCAUGUGNAGNGGUGAAAUGCGUAGAUAUAUNGAGGAACACCNGGAGGCGAAAGCGGCUCUCUGGCCUGUAACUGACACUGAGGCUCGAAAGCGUGGGGAGCAAACAGGAUUAGAUACCNUGGUAGUCCACGCCGUAAACGAUGAGUGCUAGCUGUAGGGAGCUAUAAGUUCUCNGUAGCGCAGCUAACGCAUUAAGCACUCCGCNUGGGGAGUNCGACCGCAAGGUUGAAACUCAAAGGAAUNNANNGGGGCCCGCACAAGCGGUGGAGCAUGUGGUUUAAUUCGAAGCAACGCGAAGAACCUUACCAGGUCUUGACAUACUCGUGCUAUCCUUAGAGAUAAGGAGUUCUUUCGGGACACGGGAUACAGGUGGUGCGUGGUNGUCGUCAGCUCGUGUCGUGAGAUGUUGGGUUAAGUCCCGCAACGAGCGCAACCCUUAUUACUAGUUGCCAUCAUUAAGUUGGNCACUCUAGUGAGACUGCCNGUGAUAAACCGGAGGAAGGUGGGGANGACNUCAAAUCAUCAUGCCCCUUAUGACCUGGGCUACACACGUGCUACAAUGGAUGGUACAACGAGUCGCCAACCCGCGAGGGUGCGCUAAUCUCUUAAAACUAUUCUCAGUUCGGAUUGCAGGCUNCANNNGGCCNGCAUGAAGUCGGAAUCGCUAGUAAUCGCGGAUCANCANGGCGCGGUGAAUACGUUCCCGGGCCUUGUACACACCGCCCGUCAUCUUGCUAAAAAC
RNAcentral lists this ribosomal RNA (803 nucleotides) under uncultured Lactococcus sp. Its description in RNAcentral is "partial 16S ribosomal RNA". It matches the Rfam family "Bacterial small subunit ribosomal RNA", at positions 609 to 1412 of the family's 1533-position model. Lineage: Bacteria; Bacillati; Bacillota; Bacilli; Lactobacillales; Streptococcaceae. The record is from RNAcentral.